ACGUAAUAGAUACCCGGGUAGUCCACGCCCUAAACGAUGUCGACUAGUUGUUCGGAGCAGCAAUGCACUGAGUAAACGUAGCUAACGCGUGAAGUCGACCGCCUGGGGAGUACGGCCGCAAGGUUAAAACUCAAAGGAAUUGACGGGGACCCGCACAAGCGGUGGAUGAUGUGGAUUAAUUCGAUGCAACGCGAAAACCUUACCUACCCUUGACAUGCCAGGAACCUUGCUGAGAGGCGAGGGUGCCUUCGGGAGCCUGGACACAGGUGCUGCAUGGCUGUCGUCAGCUCGUGUCGUGAGAUGUUGGGUUAAGUCCCGCAACGAGCGCAACCCUUGUCACUAGUUGCCAUCAUUUGGUUGGGCACUCUAGUGAGACUGCCGGUGACAAACCGGAGGAAGGUGGGGAUGACGUCAAGUCCUCAUGGCCCUUAUGGGUAGGGCUUCACACGUCAUACAAUGGUCGGUACAGAGGGUUGCCAAGCCGCGAGGUGGAGCUAAUCCCUUAAAGCCGAUCGUAGUCCGGAUCGUAGU
This 531-nucleotide ribosomal RNA is filed under the name uncultured bacterium. RNAcentral's name for it is "bacterial SSU rRNA". It matches the Rfam family "Bacterial small subunit ribosomal RNA", at positions 773 to 1304 of the family's 1533-position model. The record is from RNAcentral.